RNAcentral lists this ribosomal RNA (253 nucleotides) under uncultured bacterium. RNAcentral describes it as "partial 16S ribosomal RNA". It matches the Rfam family "Bacterial small subunit ribosomal RNA", at positions 524 to 776 of the family's 1533-position model. The record is from RNAcentral.
UACGAAGGGGACUAGCGUUGUUCGGAAUUACUGGGCGUAAAGCGCACGUAGGCGGAUUUGUAAGUCAGGGGUGAAAUCCCGGGGCUCAACCUCGGAACUGCCUUUGAUACUGCAAAUCUCGAGUCCGAUAGAGGUGGGUGGAAUUCCUAGUGUAGAGGUGAAAUUCGUAGAUAUUAGGAAGAACACCGGUGGCGAAGGCGGCCCACUGGAUCGGUACUGACGCUGAGGUGCGAAAGCGUGGGGAGCAAACCGG